Molecule: ribosomal RNA, 308 nt
Filed under: Ehrlichia canis
Lineage: Bacteria; Pseudomonadati; Pseudomonadota; Alphaproteobacteria; Rickettsiales; Anaplasmataceae
Description: bacterial SSU rRNA
Rfam family: Bacterial small subunit ribosomal RNA
Source: RNAcentral
AAUGCGUAGGAAUCUACCUAGUAGUACGGAAUAGCCAUUAGAAAUGGUGGGUAAUACUGUAUAAUCCCCGAGGGGGAAAGAUUUAUCGCUAUUAGAUGAGCCUACGUUAGAUUAGCUAGUUGGUGAGGUAAUGGCUUACCAAGGCUAUGAUCUAUAGCUGGUCUGAGAGGACGAUCAGCCACACUGGAACUGAGAUACGGUCCAGACUCCUACGGGAGGCAGCAGUGGGGAAUAUUGGACAAUGGGCGAAAGCCUGAUCCAGCUAUGCCGCGUGAGUGAAUAAGGUCUUCGGGUUGUAAAACUCUUUC